RNAcentral lists this ribosomal RNA (113 nucleotides) under uncultured bacterium. Its description in RNAcentral is "partial 16S ribosomal RNA". It matches the Rfam family "Bacterial small subunit ribosomal RNA", at positions 1373 to 1482 of the family's 1533-position model. The record is from RNAcentral.
CCCGGGCCUUGUACACACCGCCCGUCACACCACGAAAGUCCGCUGUACCAGAAAUCGUCGGAGCUAACCCGUAAGGGAGGCAGGCGCCCAAGGUAUGGUUGGUAAUUGGGGUG